This 440-nucleotide ribosomal RNA is filed under the name uncultured bacterium. RNAcentral describes it as "partial 16S ribosomal RNA". It matches the Rfam family "Bacterial small subunit ribosomal RNA", at positions 338 to 795 of the family's 1533-position model. The record is from RNAcentral.
CCUACGGGAGGCUGCAGUGGGGAAUAUUGCACAAUGGGGGAAACCCUGAUGCAGCGACGCCGCGUGAGUGAAGAAGUACUUCGUUAUGUAAAGCUCUAUCAGCAGGGAAGAAAAUGAAGGUACCUGAGUAUGAAGCCAUGGCUAACUCCGUGCCAGCAGCCGUGGUAAUACGUCGGGGGCGAGCGUUAUCCGGAUUUACUGGGUGUAAGGGGGGCGUAGACGGGAGUGGAAGUCUGGAGUGAAAGGCGGGGGCUCAACCCCCAGACUGCUCUUGAAACUGUACGGCUGGAGUGCAGGAGAGGUAAGUGGAAUUCGUGGUGUAGCGGUGAAAUGCGUAGAUAUGAGGAGGAACACCAGUGGCGAAGGCGGCUUACUGGACUGUAACUGACGUUGAGGCUCGAAAGCGUGGGGAGCAAACAGGAUUAGAUACCCGGGUAGUC